Xenopus laevis (African clawed frog) is the source of this 812-nucleotide long non-coding RNA. RefSeq lists it as uncharacterized. NCBI's taxonomy places the organism in Eukaryota, Metazoa, Chordata, Amphibia, Anura, Pipidae. The transcript is spliced from 2 exons. The record is from RefSeq and is a predicted model, not a curated record.
CACCCUCUGCCAUUUCCUCCCUCCGCAUUUCUCUCCCUGUUCUCUUCCUCGUCCACCUCUAAUCUCGCUCAGUCUGCGUCUCUCUCCCUCUACCGCCCCCCCUCCAAGCCCCUCCCACACCCUGUCACUCUUUAGUCGAUCGUUACUUCUGCGUAUACCACCCUCCAGCUAACAAACUUCAGACUUGCUCGUCUACGUCUAUUUCCCUCUUCUGCUCCUUCUCCAGUCACAGUCCUUCUGCCUCUCUCACAUCCUGACACUAUUCGCUCUUGUUACUUCUGCCGCUCCCACCCCCUCCCACUAUCAAACUUCCCCCUCCUUCCCUUGCAUUCAGCCAUCUCUGAUGCAGUGGAAGACGUCACACAGAGCGGGCUACUUUAAAAGAACCUGAAGAAAGCAAGAAUAAAUACAGUACCUGACGAUCAUCUGUAUUCUCCAGGAUGUUGCUUGGAAUAAAUCCCUGAUGGCCCUGAGAAUUUUGCACCAUCCACCACUGCCGGCUUUGGUCCAAAACCUGCCAAAUAAAGACAGACAUGCUACACUGAUAACAGGCAAAAAAAUAACAACUAUAGGUAUACACUGGACAGUUCCAGUUUAUAUUAUUAUUGACUAAACAUUUUCAUGUAUAACUGAAAGCAAUAAUUAUGGCAGUUCUAUUUAUAUUACAAAAUUUUAAAAAAGCUACUCAUAUCUUUAUGAAUUCCGGGAAAGUCAUCUCUGAUAGAGCCUACUGUAAGAAAAUAAUUAUAGUUUUUCAAAAUGAUUAUCUUUUUCUCUGUAAUAAUAAAACAAUAGCUUAUACAUGAUCCUAA